CGUAAAAUUCUAACCAAUUUUGAAAGCAAGCCCAAAUCGAUUUGUUAUUCCAUACAAAUAUUUACGUGUUUACAUAUUUGCUGAAAGAUGUCUAUGACCUAGCGGAUGCCGUAUAUCGUACAUCUACGGCAUCCUUCAUAUUGGAAGCGUAAUUUAUUGUUUUUCUACGAUUUUCUAGGGUAAAUUACGGGUUUACGUCAUAUACGUCAAAAACCUCGAAAAACGCAAAAUUGCCUAACCCUCGUCGAGUCCCAAUUAUUCGUUGGAAUGAAGCGUGAUAAAAAUUUCCUGAUUAAAGUUGAAUGGUAUUCGGUGCAUAACACCGUUAAGGAUCGAUUGAUCAAUGGAUCUUUAGUGUGCGAUUUUAGUGCUUCUAAUCGGAUCUUAAAAAGAACAAAGAUGUUGAACCAUGUAUUGAAAGAAUGUCCUCGUUUGAAAAAGUAUCAGCAGUACAAAGACAUUAUAUCACAGCUGCGUAAGCAUGUUUCAGACAAUAGCGAAACCGAUGACAGACAUGUUCCAUGUGCCGACUUUGGUAACAAAAUUAAUGGAAGUUUUGACAAUUCUGUUCACAAGAUUGAUUUUGAUAAUAAUGUUUCAUGCAAUAAUGCCAAUGUUUCUUAUCAGAAUGAUGAUCAAAGCAUGAUACAGGAUAAUCGUGAGAAAUUGAGAUUUCAAUGUAAUUCAAAACCCGAAACAACAUCACAUGAGAUAUGCCAGGCAAAAGUGCAUAAGCAAAGGUAUAAAUUCUUACAAACAAGUAGAGAUACAACUUCAUAUUUACCUGUAUCUGUUCAUACAAUUGAUGCUGAAAAUAGUGAUUGGAAUAAAAAUGAGAUUCUUCCCUUUCAAAGCACCAAAAACGAUCCAAAAAUGUUUAAGCAGACGAAAAAAGGUAUGAGGACUAUGAAUCAUUCUUAUGAGAAGAUAUCUGUUGAGAAGGACAAGUUAAAUAAGCAAAUGCCAUUAGGAAGCAUUUCUGAUUUAAUUGAGAACAAUCAAAGGAAAAUAACAUUCUAUUUUAAUAAAAAACCUUGCUCCGACUACUGUCAUGACAGAUUACUGUCAAAAACCCAUGCUAAUUCAGUAGAGAAAAAACAAAGGAAAAUAACAUUCUAUUUUAAGAAAAAGCUCUACACUGAAUGUCAUGAUAAUAAGAUAGAAGAAAGAACUCUGGGACAAAAAUCAGAGUUGAAUUUUGCAAGCAAAGGAUGCAAUGUAUCCAAUAAGAAUUUAUCUCAUGAAAUACCCUGCAAAGAAUUGAACAAAAAUAAUGAAGUGGCUAAAGUGAAUAUUACUAGCAUUGAAGUGAAUUCAAAUCAAUUUUUGGAAAAGCAAAAACAUAACAUAAGAGAAUUAAAUGAGAUAAAUGAAAUGGGAGAAACAUUUCAACAAAAUAUACAGAACAAUGACACAAUGACAAAAUACAAAGAAGAAAAUAAACGUGUUUCUACAGACUUAUGUGACUAUAAUUUACAUAGUUUAUAUAGAGAGCAAAGCCUAUCCACUUUGUUCAGUGAAAUAUCUACCGCCGAGAGUACACGAGUAUGUGAGAGUAAUUCUAGUAUUAUUAAAUCAAUUUGUAAAGAUGUGCAAGAAUUGAUGCUGCAGAAUUAUAUGCCUGGUCUAGGAAAUUCAGGAAUUAAAGAUAAUUCUGAAAACCAUCAUUCAAAUGAUUAUAGAAGAAACAUAGAGAAAACUCCUUUAACUGUAAAUAUGUGCAAAAAUAAGACCAUACAAAACACAUCACAUCGAUUGAACACUGGAAAUUUAGAUUCAGUUUUCACAUAUGGCUGCUGUAAUGCACCAAUGCAAAUAUGUGGAAAACAUUCUGGAGUGAUUAAUGGAAAAAUGUUAAGAGAAAAUGGGAAUCAUCAAAUUAUUCAGAGAGAUCAAUCAUUACAUGAAAGUAUUAAUAUGAUUCCUAAUAUGAAGAUCGAAGAAAAUCAUUUGGCAAAAAUACAAGACAAUAUUGAAGUGCCAAUCCAGCAACACAAGACUAACAACAAAGCGAGUCCUUUACAUAUAACACCAUUUAAUGAAGGUCCAAUUAUGGGGCACAAUUCAAAUAAUGUGCAACUGAAAAAGAUACUUCCAAAAAUUAUUAAUAAAGAUAUUAUUUUAACAAAUUCGAAAAUAGUGCCAUUUGAUCAACAGAAUAAUAAUGAGAUUCGUCCAGUUUUGCAUAAAUGUAAUACGUUGCAUACUAAAUUUAUGAAUCAGAAGGGCGUCAUUAAUAAAAACAGCAAAAAAGGCGACAAUGUUAUAAUGACUUCAACUGCUCAAGAAAUAAAAAAGUUAAACAGAUAUAAUUUAUCUUUGGGAUGUGACAUGAGAUUCAGUAAUGAUGAAAUAUAUUUAAGUAAGAAAAAUGAUAAGAAAAUAGUAGGGAGCAAUAUUGAUGCUUCAACGACCACUGAUGAUUAUAGAGCAAUUACAGAAAUUCAGCCAGGCGAAUAUUUGGAGAAAGGUAAAUUAAGUAAACCCCAAGAAUCUGCUAGAGCCAUCAGCAGUGGUGAAAAACAAGUAACUGACAAAAAAGAAUACUCUUUUAAUAAAUUGAACAAAAAUGAUGUAUCUGAUGCAAUGUUUAUGAUCAGACAUCAUUCUAAUAAUAAUGAUAACAAAACUGAUGGGACAUUUGAUCAUGGGAGGAAAUUAAAGAAGCGGAAGAAAAAAGAGGAAGUACUUCAAUUUGUCUUAGGAUGUCAAGACGAAAACGAAAUACAAGGUUCUGAACAGGGUGUAAUAAAAAAACAAAAAGAGAAUUCUUUGUACCUAAACACUGAAGUAAAGAAGAAAUCUCUUGAAAAGAAGAAUAAGUCCAUGAGACACUGUGUUAAUAAUGAUGAUGUUAAUAAAACUGACGAGAUAUGUAAUAAUGAGAGAAGAUUGAAGAAACGCAAGAGAAAAGAAGAAACAUUUCAAAAUGUCUUAGGAUGUGAAGAAGAAACAUACCAAGAUUCAGGACAUGCAGUUGCGAUGAAACAAACUGGGAACUAUCUGUGUGAAAACAUUGAAGGGGAGAAGAAAUCUGAAAAGGAAAGUAAGUACUUUGGACAUAGUUCAAGUAAUGACGAUAUUCAAAAUAUUGACGAAACAUUUUGUAAUGAAAGAAAAUUGAAGAAACUAAAGUUGAUAGGAGAAGUGUUUCAAAAUAUCUUAGGAUGUGAAGAAGAAAAAGAGUUACAAGAUCUGAGACAUACAGUUGUGCAGAAACAAACGGAAAACUUGUUGUAUCUGAAAACUGACAAGAAGAAGAAGCCACAUGAAAUGGAAAAGAAGAACUUCGGACACUGUUGGAAUAACAAUGAUAAUAGCAUGACCGAUGAGACUGUAAGUAAUGAAAGAAAUUUAAAGAAACGGAAAAGGGAAAAAGAAGUGUUUCAAAAGGUCUUAGAAUUUGAAGCAGAAAAAAAAUUUAAAAAUUCUGAAAAUGAGGUUAUAGAGAAGGAAAAACCAAACCUUCUGCAUUUACAAACUGAACUAAAUAAGAAACAUCCCAAAAAGGGAAAUAAGAAUCUCAGACAUUGUAUUAAUACUAAUGAUACUGAAAAAGCUGGUGGAAUAUGUAAUGAUGAAAGAAAAGGAAAGAGGAAGGAACGGAAGAGUAAAGAAGUAUUUCAAUAUAGUUUAGAGAGUAAACCAGAACAUAAAUUAGAAAAUUCUGGAAAUGGAGUUAUGGAAGAAGAAAAGGAGAAACAUUUGCAUCUAUCGACUGAAGUAAAACAGAAACCCCUUGAAAAAGAAAAUAAACAUUCAAGAUACUAUUCUAAUAAUAAUGAUUUUCAAAAAACUGAUGAGACAUGUGAUAAUGAAAGGAAAUUGAAGAAACGGAAGAAAAAAGAAGUGUUUCAAAAUGUUUUAGGAUGUAAACCAGGAAAAGAAUUAAAAAAUUCUGUAAAUGCAACAAUGGAGGAACAAAAUGAAAAAUCGCUCCUACAGAACACUGACGGGAAGAGAAGAACUUUUGAAAAGGAAUCUAAGGACAACAGCCAAUGUGUUAAUAAUAAUGAUACUCAACAAAAUGAAGUCGUUUUUAAUAAUGCCAGGGAAUUAAAGAAGCAGGACAGAAAAGAAGUGCUCCAAAAUCUUUUUGCUUGCAAACAAGAAAAAAAAUCAAAGGAGUUUGAGAAUGCAGUUUUAGACAAUGAAAACGAAAACUGUCUGCUUCUAAAAACUGAAGUAAAGAAGAAAUGUCGGGAAGGAAAGGAAAACAGGGAUGCCAGACAUUGGUCUGAUAAUUAUAUUCAAAAAAUUGAUGAGACGAUUAUUAAUGUAAGAAAAUUAAAUAAACGGAAGCUGAGGAAUGAAGAAGUAUUUCAAAAUGUCUUAGGAUGUGAAGAAAGAAAAGAAUUACAAGGUUCUGGAAAUGCAUUUAUGGAGAAACAAAUAGAAAACUCUCUAUAUCUAAACACCGAAAGGAAGAAAAAAUCACUUGAAAAAGGAAACAAGUACUUUGGGCAACAUUCUAUUAAUAACACAUUCAUAAUCAAUGAGAACAAAUCUCUGAUAUUCACCCCGCAAUCUUCCCAUGCGAGAAAUAGUAAAAGUUUGAAUUCAACAAAAGAAACGAACGUUACAUUUGGAAAUAACGAGGAAUCUCUAAGCAUUUCUGAUAGGACAGAAAUAGCUGAAACUUUACGUCCUCGCAAUAUCCAAGAGCUAAUCGUUAGUGAGUCCUUAAUACACACGAAUGCAGAGCCCUCAUUAACAUUAAAUGAUAUUUCUGAUGAUGAAGACGUUUGGCUUUUUGAAAUACCUAAAACGAUUCAUCAUCAAAAAUUCAAAGGAAGGAAAAUUAUAAUCAAGGAAAACAAUCUGGUGAAAAUUGGAGAAGAAAAAUAUAAUGCUUUAUGCAUAGACGUUAGGAAAGCCUCUUGUGUUGUUAAUAGUGGCACGCAUAAAAACCAGUACAAAACAGCAGUUUACCACAGCGCUGCGUGCGGCCACUGAAUGAAACUGUAGAGGAAUGCGAUUGCGACGAAAGGAAUACGGGCAGAAGACGAUGAUGAAUACGUCAAUUAACAUCAAGCCAGUCGGCUCAAUCUUGAUUAGAAAGAAACCUAUAAAAUGACCGACUUUUAUGACGAUAUCAGCCAUCAUAGCAUCAUUCCAAAGAGAUUUAUAAUUCCUGAAGAACUGGACAGCUAAACAUGUAUCGUAGCAUCCUGGAAACCCAAAUAAUUAGUUGAAAGUUAUGUCUUUAAGAAACAGACCGAAUUUUGAUGAGUUAUAGACAAGAAUCAGUGGUGCGAAAAGAAAUAAAAGAAAUAAAACGUUCACUAACGAUAAAAUAGAAGUUAACCCUUAGCGCUCCGUUGGCUCCGCUACGGAGACAUUCGUCAUAACAUUACGAAACUUGCGGAGCGCUAAGGGUUAAAUAACUUUCCAUGAUAUCUAUAAAAGAAGAAGCAAUGUCAAAUAAAACCAAUUGUUUAUAGUUACAAGUUGGAAUAAUACCAUUAUGUUUACAAUGAUAUACGAAUUUUUAUGUACAUUUUGUAUAAAAAUAUCUUCUUUACAUAUGUAACAAGUUGUAAUAAUUGUCUUUCGUUUUGUUGAAUGUAUAAUAAAUUCUACCAUUCCUUUUUCUUUCAAA
This 5602-nucleotide unclassified non-coding RNA is filed under the name Orussus abietinus. RNAcentral's name for it is "uncharacterized LOC105697785, transcript variant X1". The record is from RNAcentral. Lineage: Eukaryota; Metazoa; Arthropoda; Insecta; Hymenoptera; Orussidae.